ACCCAAUCGAUUCAACAUGUUUAGUCCUUCCACCUUUGUGAUCCCACACUCCUAAUCAUAUUAGCUAAAAUGCUGCACACUCAAUCUUUGGAAGAUAUAUAAAAAAACAUAAAUAUAGAUAGAUUAUCUUUCCAUUAGGUUGAGCGAUCUGAUCUAACAAAUGUUUUAAAUACUACACUCAUGAUCUUAUUAUCCAUCAAAUUUGUCUUGCUCACUAUGCUUAAGGAUAGAGAAGAAUAAAUAUACUUUUGGUUCUGUUGGUACCCAUGCACUUGAUCUCUGCCUUGUCUCUAUGAGCUGGACACAUUUUUAGAAACAUGGAGGAUUUUUCAACUCCCAGACUCUACCAAGUGAAGGACCUGGAUCUACGAGCACAAACACACUAAGCAAGAUACUGCCAACGCCGCACUUCGAACUACUAGGCAAACAAAGAACAUGGGUGACAUAGUAUCAAGAGGUGCAGACGUCAAGGUCCACACUUGGAUCAAAUGACACACCUGGAUCAAAUGACGCACCUAAAGAAUGAACACGGUGAGAAGUCUUGUUCAGAAGACUUUAAACAUUGAACCCUCGCCGAAAGAUAAAAUUGGUAAUUAUCCAUAUUUAUUCUUUCUACAUUCCCUUUUCCCUUUAAUUAUUUACUUUCCUUAAAUGGCUUGUUAGUUAAUCAUGCUAUCUUGAAAAGAAAACAAAAAUUUUAAAAACAAUAAGCCCCAUGUGAGUAUGCUCGUGGCAUAAAACCCAUAAGUACAUGCACUGUGGUGGCGUAAAAAAUAAAAUAAAGAUAUUCCUAUCCUAUAGAAAUGAAAAUAUAAAAAUAAAUUUAUGAUCCUACCAAAGAGAGUAAUAUUUAUUAGAGGAAGCUCAACAUGAUUAGGGCAAAGAUAUUUUUAUACUAACACUUAACCAGUUCCACAAAGCUUUGUUGUCUAUUUGAGCUCCACCGAAUUUAAGGAUCAAAGAAGACUAGCAGACGGAGGACAUCCUAAUCGCUACCAGGGUACUGCCGACAUUCAAAUACACCUCCGCCACCUACUAGCUACAUCAGAAGAAAUUACGUCAAAAUCCAGCUUGGGGGAGAGCACCCCCAUUUAUCCAGCUAAGUGUUUCUACUCGCGUUUAAACUUUACUCAAAUAAUAAAAAGAUGCAUAAUCAUAAAAACCCAAAUAAAUAUUUUAUGCUUAUAUAUAUAUCUUUGCUUAGUUUGCUAAAUAAAUAAAUAAAUAAAGUUUGCUAUAAACCCUCAC
Molecule: long non-coding RNA, 1248 nt
Filed under: Sorghum bicolor (sorghum)
Lineage: Eukaryota; Viridiplantae; Streptophyta; Magnoliopsida; Poales; Poaceae
Description: long non-coding RNA (SBIC_LNC013880)
Source: RNAcentral